Molecule: ribosomal RNA, 280 nt
Filed under: uncultured Ascomycota
Lineage: Eukaryota; Fungi; Ascomycota
Description: partial 18S ribosomal RNA
Rfam family: Eukaryotic small subunit ribosomal RNA
Source: RNAcentral
UUGGAGGGCAAGUCUGGUGCCAGCAGCCGCGGUAAUUCCAGCUCCAAUAGCGUAUAUUAAAGUUGUUGUGGUUAAAAAGCUCGUAGUUGAACCUUGGGCCUGGCUGGCCGGUCCGCCUCACCGCGUGUACUGGUCCGGCCGGGUCUUUCCCUCUGUGGAACCCCAUGCCCUUCACUGGGUGUGGCGGGGAAACAGGACUUUUACUUGAAAAAACUUAGAGUGCUCCAGGCAGGCCUAUGCUCGAAUACAUUAGCAUGGAAUAAUAGAAUAGGACGUGCGG